UGAAUGCACUAACUGUAAGUCGCUCUGGAUAAGAGCGUCUGCUAAAUGACAAAUG
Molecule: non-coding RNA, 55 nt
Organism: Salmo salar (Atlantic salmon)
Lineage: Eukaryota; Metazoa; Chordata; Actinopteri; Salmoniformes; Salmonidae
Source: Rfam